GUUCACUUAGUAUUCAUAAGAUGACAUAUUUUGUAAAUUAUUGUUUAGUAAAUAUCACAAGUUCCAAGAAGUUUAUUGGAAAUUUAAGGUUAAAAAGCUAUAAAUUUUUGCAUUUCAUAUUCACUGUUCAUAUUUGAGUGGCUUCAUAACAGAGUCACAUUUUAAAAAGGUCUUCUCAAAUAGGACUCCAGUUCUACUUCAUUGCUUUUUGGAAAUGGGGCUGUCUUUAAGAGGAAUAGCCAGGGGCACUCUUAUUGUGCCGCUAGAGGUGAAAUUCUUGGACUGGAGUAAGACAGCCUAGAGUUAAAGCAUUUACUAAGAACAUUUUCAUCAAUCAGGAACAAAAGUCAGAUUUUUGAAGACAACCAGAUAUCAUCAUAGUUUUGACCAUAACUGAUGCCACCUGGUAAUAAAUUUUUUUGAGGGGAAGUCUCUGUGGCACAGUUGGUUAGCACAUUCAGCUGCUAACCGAAAGGUUGGC
Molecule: non-coding RNA, 481 nt
Filed under: Mesitornis unicolor (brown roatelo)
Lineage: Eukaryota; Metazoa; Chordata; Aves; Mesitornithiformes; Mesitornithidae
Description: Eukaryotic small subunit ribosomal RNA
Rfam family: Eukaryotic small subunit ribosomal RNA
Source: Rfam by way of RNAcentral